This 1609-nucleotide long non-coding RNA is filed under the name Homo sapiens (human). RNAcentral describes it as "HSALNT0231968". The record is from RNAcentral. Lineage: Eukaryota; Metazoa; Chordata; Mammalia; Primates; Hominidae.
UGCAGCUGGGACAUUUUUGAUACUGUGAUCUUAGAUACAUUCAUCUGUCAGACUCCAGCUGAUUCCAAACUCCUUGUUCAUUCUAUUAGGUUGUGCUAUAAGAAAAAAUUCUGUAAGCUUUAAAAGUGGUAAGUCAACUCAAGGCACAGCCAAUAAGCAUUUAUAUGACUGUACAUUAUUUACCUAACUCUGCAGAGGGAGCCAGAUAUCCUUUAGUGUAGUAACGAAGAAUGGCUCCUGCAUAUCCCCAGCAAUUCUCAGGAAAAGGUGGGUGUUAUAUUCUCUUAAAUAGAGAGGCGUUUUUUUCUUAGUCCUAUUACUGGCAGCUUCUAAAUUUAAUAACAAAAUGCUCACCUACAAAUAAGAAGAAUAAAAGCUUAACUUGCCAGGGGGAAAAAAAGUUCUAUGAUGUAACAGACCCAGGAAUAAGUGAUAUUCAUGGGAAGGUCACUGCCUGAGGCUGCUUGAUAAACUCCAGCCCUUUCCUAUAUCCACUGUUUAAUGUUUAAGCUUUGGAUGCUAAGAGUGGUUAUAAUAAACUGUCCAACAGUUUCUCACUUAGACUUCCCAAGAAGGUGACAAAAUAAAAUCAAUGUAAAGCUGUCAAAAGAGAGGCUCAUCACUGAAGUAUAUUUUGCUCAAUCACCCAUUUGAAACCAAGUAUUUCCUUUAAUCAGCUCUUUUGAGAAUUUAGCCAAUGGAACACCAAGAGCCUCCAACGAUCGUUUCCCAUCUACAUUCUUUUUAAGAAAAAUGCAGGCAAAUUCCUGAAUCGACCUUGUUCUGAUAAGUCUCCUUGAGGUAAGGUCGUCAUGAUUCUCACCCACAUUUUUCCACUGUCUUGUCAGAUGAAUCCGUGAAAUUCACAGAUUAACUCAAGUCCCUCACUCAGACAUUCUAAAUGCACCAAAUGUUCAAGUGUAACAAAAAAUUACACAUCUGGUAAUUCUGCGUGUUAUUUAUAGCCUUUCUGAUAGAGGCAUAAUUGAUUCAGAAAUGUAAUUUACAGCUUGGCAUCUCCGUUUCAAAGCCUCAAUUCUAUGACAUCCACCAAGAGAGUAAUCUCACUUUUGUGAGGAAGCAAACAUAAUAAUUGUAAAGAAUUUUUGUAUGAUAGUCUCACGCUUUUGCAUAAAGUUUUUCUCGCUCCUUGUUUUUCAUUUGCAAAGUGGGCAAUAUUCAUGUCAGCCACACACUUUUAAUUCUACAGAAUGGUUUAUGAAGGCAUAAAUGGAGCAUAAAGUUGAUCAACAAACCCUAGGAUGAUGGCAAAUGGCUAAGGCAAGUUUCUCUUGCCCUCUAGUUUUAAUUGCAACCCUCAUAAGAAAACACUCUCUAAUUUAACUAGGUAAUUGUUUUCUUCAAAGAGAACAUUUGUUAUUUAGUGCCAUUUUGAAAACUACUAAAGAAUAUUGGAAUUUUUUUUUUAUCCAAGAAGAGUCAUAAAACCACUUUUUCUCCACUUUUUCUUCUUCAGUCUCUGUCUUCCACACCCUUCUUAAGUAUAAAAUUGAUGCCUUAAUUAUUGCCCCAGUCUCUUGUCUUGGGCACAUUUUGAGGAGGAUAAGCUUAUGUGAGGGUAUAAUUUCCUCUAGCUAGUGGGGGCCCA